This 253-nucleotide ribosomal RNA is filed under the name uncultured bacterium. RNAcentral's name for it is "partial 16S ribosomal RNA". It matches the Rfam family "Bacterial small subunit ribosomal RNA", at positions 524 to 776 of the family's 1533-position model. The record is from RNAcentral.
UACGGAGGGGGCUAGCGUUGUUCGGAAUUACUGGGCGUAAAGCGCACGUAGGCGGCUUUGUAAGUUAGAGGUGAAAGCCCAGGGCUCAACCCUGGAAUUGCCUUUAAGACUGCAUCGCUUGAACAUCGGAGAGGUAAGUGGAAUUCCGAGUGUAGAGGUGAAAUUCGUAGAUAUUCGGAAGAACACCAGUGGCGAAGGCGGGUCUCUGGGCAGUAACUGACGCUGAGGAGCGAAAGCGUGGGGAGCGAACAGG